CUUCAAGGAUGACUCAACUGAAAGGAACACCUCCAAGGGAAAAUGUUUCCUUCACUUUUCUUUUUUCAUCUUGCAACUCGAUUCAUAGUUUCUUGCAAUACCUUGAGCUGGAAAGAAGGUUCAGAAACAUCAUAAACAAGUUUGUCAAAAGCUGUAAGCUUACAACAAUUUCAGAAGGAGUUGUAAACAAGAUUUAGCGAGCAGAUUCACUUUUUAGAAUAAAAUGUUUUUUUCACAACUGUUUUAGCAAAGUGAAGAUCUUGUGUACAUUAAUUUGUACCAGUAGCAGUUUUAAAUUUUCUUUAGAUUUUUAGAACUAAAGAAGAUACAACCAAUAGUUUUAAUUUUUCCUUAGGUUCUUACUGCUCGUUUCCGAAGAAUAGUGAAACUCUUGGCAGCAAUAGUUUUUCCAACAACUGAACUAGCAGGAACUAGCAGAACAAGCAGACCAGCAAAAAUAGUAGAACGAGCAAAAACGCGGAGGAAUAGUAGAACAACAGGAAACAAGCGGGAACAGUAGAAACACAGGAAACAACCCAAAAAGCAUGCUAGUAGGAAGUUGUGUGUGAAGCCACAACUAUUGGAUGUAGAAUGCGUCUAAUAGGACCUCCCCUAUCUGAUGCCCGUUAGCGUGUGUGCUUUCGGUGAGGCAAGCCUCCAGUUCGGCCGGCCCAUGUACGGCAUUGGCGUUUUGCCGUCUGAUUCUUUCACUGCUGCUUCCUUGUGUGUUCCUUCCAGGUUUUCUUUGUUUUUUUACUUCUAGAGAUUUCACAGGUUUUGUCCGGGUUUUGGUUAUUUUGUUCUUGUUUUUUUACUUUUUCUAUUUUGAUUCAUUUUACUUUUAUGUUUCUUUUUUAUUUUCUGUGUCUUAUUUUCUUCACUUUACUUCGUAUUAUAUAGAAGUUCAUCACGUAUUACAAAAAUCUUCAUCGUAUUAAAACAAUGUUCAUUUUAUAUUAUGAAAUAGUUUGCAUUGCAUUAUAAAAAUGUUCAUCCUGUAUUACAAAAUGUUCAUCAUAUAUCAUGAAA
Molecule: long non-coding RNA, 1029 nt
Filed under: Hordeum vulgare
Lineage: Eukaryota; Viridiplantae; Streptophyta; Magnoliopsida; Poales; Poaceae
Description: long non-coding RNA (HVUL_LNC012242)
Source: RNAcentral